RNAcentral lists this ribosomal RNA (505 nucleotides) under Curvularia spicifera. RNAcentral's name for it is "eukaryotic LSU rRNA". The stretch from base 137 to 290 matches the Rfam family "5.8S ribosomal RNA". The record is from RNAcentral. Lineage: Eukaryota; Fungi; Ascomycota; Dothideomycetes; Pleosporales; Pleosporaceae.
GGCUGGACUAUUUAUUACCCUUGUCUUUUGCGCACUUGUUGUUUCCUGGGCGGGUUCGCUCGCCACCAGGACCACAAUAUAAACCUUUUUUAUGCAGUUGCAAUCAGCGUCAGUAUAACAAAUGUAAAUCAUUUACAACUUUCAACAACGGAUCUCUUGGUUCUGGCAUCGAUGAAGAACGCAGCGAAAUGCGAUACGUAGUGUGAAUUGCAGAAUUCAGUGAAUCAUCGAAUCUUUGAACGCACAUUGCGCCCUUUGGUAUUCCAAAGGGCAUGCCUGUUCGAGCGUCAUUUGUACCCUCAAGCUUUGCUUGGUGUUGGGCGUUUUUGUCUUUGGCCCGCCAAAGACUCGCCUUAAAAUGAUUGGCAGCCGGCCUACUGGUUUCGCAGCGCAGCACAUUUUUGCGCUUGCAAUCAGCAAAAGAGGACGGCAAUCCAUCAAGACUCCUUCUCACGUUUGACCUCGGAUCAGGUAGGGAUACCCGCUGAACUUAAGCAUAUCAAUA